AGAAGAAAUAAAAAAGAAAUGGAAAGAUGCAAGAUCCAUUGUGAAGAAGAAAGAAGCCAGUAGAAAAUACCAGACGAAGAGAACGGGCGGAGGGCCUCCCCCGGAAUCUGUAUUCAAGGCAUGGGAACUUGACAUUUUGUCAAUUAUACCGGAUGAACUUAUCUCUGGGAUUGACGGAGGGGUUGAUACUGCCUUUGCCAGUAAUUCUGAAACAAAUAACUCAGCCUCAUCAUGCACUGCAGUCCCAUCGGAAAUUUCCGCUGGAAUUCCAUCCUUGAUUGUAGAAGAAGUUGACGUUCCGGAAGAAGCUCCAAGUGUACAUGUGUCCAGGCCUUCCACCGACACAUUCUUUGCUUCAACUCUGUAUGGAUCUAAACGUAAAGACACGGCCAGCGACCCCGACGCUGAGUUUAUGCUGAAUUUGAUAGAAGAGGAG
This is a long non-coding RNA of Saccostrea cuccullata (small rock oyster), 436 nucleotides long. RefSeq lists it as uncharacterized. The record is from RefSeq and is a predicted model, not a curated record. NCBI's taxonomy places the organism in Eukaryota, Metazoa, Mollusca, Bivalvia, Ostreida, Ostreidae. The transcript is spliced from 5 exons.